RNA transcript from Carcharodon carcharias (great white shark), 5381 nucleotides. It is a transcript of the gene named cytosolic purine 5'-nucleotidase-like, with no coding region annotated. Lineage: Eukaryota; Metazoa; Chordata; Chondrichthyes; Lamniformes; Lamnidae. The record is from RefSeq and is a predicted model, not a curated record. The transcript has 18 exons.
GCACACAACUCCGGUGAUAAAGUGGAAUCUCUCAGCUGGGCUCAACUGAUAAUGUAUCAGAAAUGAAAAGCUGCAACAGUAUUGGACAAUUUCUCCUGGAUGGUCACAGGAUGAAGGCACUGGCUUGAUUCUCCAGCUCUCUUCACUAGAAGCUUAGAGUGUGUUAACUUAGAAGGAAGUUGUUAAGUAUGGGGAGUGUAACAGGCGAAUGCUCAGAGCAGAACAAUCAAUACUCAACUCAUGAGAAUCACACCAAUUUCCGAAGUACAGGGGAUUAUCAGCAAAUUGAUUAUCGACAUUUGAAACGAGAUUAUCAACACAGAAUUUUUGUGAACAGGAGCCUGGCGCUUGAGAAGAUUAAAUGUUUUGGAUUUGACAUGGACUACACCCUGGCAGUUUACAGAUCUCCUGAGUAUGAAGAGCUAGGCUUUCAGCUGAUGAUAAAUCACUUGGUUUCAAUUGGAUAUCCACAGGAAUUGCACCUCUACACAUAUGAUCCCACUUUCCCAACCAGAGGGCUUGUGUUUGAUACUCUGCAUGGAAACCUUCUAAAAGUGGACUCUCACGGCAAUAUCUUGGUGUGUGCUCAUGGCUUCAGGUUCCUCAAGGGAGCAGACAUUCGUGAGCAGUACUCCAACAAGUUUAUCCAAAGAGAUGACCUGGGACGCUUUUACAUCCUUGACACUCUCUUUAACCUUGCCGAAACCUACCUAUACGCUUGCCUCGUGGAUUUCUUCAACAAGUGCUCAAAAUACACCAGCUGUGAGGCAGGCUUUAAAUGUGGUGACCUCUUCAUGUCAUAUCGGCACAUGUUCCAGGAUGUGCGUGAUACAAUGGAUUUCGUGCAUGAUUCAGGGACUUUGAAGAAGAAAACGCUGGCAAACCUGGAAAGAUAUGUGAUGAAGGAUCCUCGAUUGCCUCUGCUCCUCAGUCGAAUGAAAGAAGUGGGAAAGAUUUUCCUUGCUACCAACAGCGAUUACUCCUACACAGAUGCAAUAAUGAAAUACCUGUUUGACUUCCCACGUGGGCCAAAGCCAGGUACUUCACACUGCUCCUGGCGUUCCUAUUUUGACCUGAUUGUGGUAGACACAAGAAAGCCUCUUUUCUUUGGAGAGGGAACAAUGCUCAGACUGGUUGAUGAUGAAUCUGGGAGGCUUCGGAUUGGCACCUACACAGGCCCUUUGCAACACGGUAUUGUUUAUUCUGGAGGGUCUUCAGACAUGAUCUGCGACCUGCUGGGGGUGAAGGGUAAAGAGAUUCUGUACAUUGGAGACCAUAUCUUUGGAGACAUCCUCAAAUCCAAGAAAUGGCAGGGCUGGAGGACAUUCCUGGUUGUACCCGAACUGGCACGUGAGCUACGGGUCUGGACAGAGAAGAGUGCUCUUUUCGAAGAACUUCGUAACCUUGAUAUAUUUGUUGCUGAUCUUUACAAGCAUUUAGACAGCAGCAGCAAUGAGCACCCUGACAUUUCCGCAAUUCGGAAACAAAUAAAGGCAGUGACCCACGAGAUGGACAUGUGCUACGGAAAAAUGGGAAGUUUAUUAAGAUGUGGCUCCAGACAGACAUUAUUUGCCAGUCAGCUGAUGCGCUACGCUGACCUGUAUGCUGCAUCUUAUAUAAAUCUCCUGUAUUAUCCUUUCAGCUACCUAUUCCAAACACCUCCUGUACUGGAGUCAGCAGGUGGAAGACUGAUGCUGGUUAAUUCACUUUUCCACUGGAGAUGACUUCCACAAUGGGUUAGGCAUGUUGUGAUGAAUUAAUCUUGUAGGCGCUGGGGUACAGAAGUUCAGAAGUUCCAGUACAAACAGUGAAGGUAAGGGCCAGGCAGUCACCUGAAUUGAACUCUUGUUCUGAGCUGCUGUUUGCAAGAUGGAAGAUGGCAGACUGAAUGGAAGUACAGCAAGACAAGGUAACUGCUUCUCCCAGCUAGGAGGUCAUGUGACAUAACCCCCACUUCUCCACUUUGGCUUUGACAGAGGAUUCCUUUGUCUGGAUUCCUGGGAAGGUUAAUGUUUCAACAAUUAAAAAUUUGAAAGAGGGUUGCCAAAUCUUUUGUCGUAGCAGACUGGUCAUCUCCAUUGGCCAGGCCUGGCUUAGGAAAUGUAGAUGGCCUUUGUAUAACUUCCUUUGAAUUUCAUCUCUGCAUCCACAGAGGUCAUUAGUCUCUCUUCAGGGAUAACGAGGUGUCAGCUUCUCUGACAUUGCCAGAAAUUUCCCUUUGUUCAGGGUUACAGGCAAACAUAGCUUUAGCCUUUUUCCAAGGGUAGGAUCUUUCCAUCGGCAUGCGGGGGCGGGCCCAACAUGCUGAGCCAUAAAAUGACACGCGAUGACAUCAGGUGUACGUCCCAACGUCAUUGUGCGCCAUUGCGAUAUUUCGUUCAGCGUGCCCACAACGGAGUCGGCUGUGAGCCGACCGAAAUGUAAACGGCCUAUUAAGGCCAUUAGGAAAUUAAUUAAAGCUCUUAUCAAUGCUGCCUGUCCAACCUUAAGGUUGGCCGCCAGGUGAAAAGCCCAAACGGCCUUCGCAUUUUUCAGGAAUCCUCAUCCACUAGCGCAAUAAAGUUUCCUGAAGUUUUUAUUAAAUAAAUAAAUAUUCACAAAUAUAAAAACAUGUCCCAACUCAUGUGACACAUGAGGGGACAUGUUUAAAUAAGUUUUUAAAUAAUUUAUUUAAUUAUUUUAAUAUCCAUUCAAUCUCCCUGAGGCAGCUCCGUGCCUCAGAGAGAUUGUUGGCGCUGGACCCAACUUUCCAUUCUCCCCCUGCCCGCACAGGUAAUGCUUGCGCUACCGGUCGCACAUUAUGCUGGGUGGGCCUUAAUUGGCGUAAAUCCUUUUUCAUUUGAGGACGUGAAAAACAGAGAUGAUGAGAAUUUUUUUCUCUCACAGAGGGUCGUGAGUCUUUGAAACUUUCUUCCACAAAAAGAGGUGGAGGCAAAAUCUUUUAAUGUUUUAAGGCUGAGGUAGAUGAGAUUCUUGAUAAGCAAGGGGGUGAAAAGUUAUCGGUGGUAGGCAGGAAUGUGGAGUUGAGGUUAAAUUGAAUAGUGGAGCAGACUCGAAAGAGCCAAGUGGCCUAUUGCUGCUCCUAAUUCGUACGUGAGGUCUUAGCUCCGGGAUGUCUGUCAGGGUCUCCACUAUCGUGUUACUCUGACAGUUAAUCUGCUUCUUAUUCCUGUGGUGCAGCAGAUAUCAUUCAAAAUUUCAUAAUCACCGUUCCCCCUCUUUCUAUUUUAUGAAUUAAACAUCUUGAAUUAUUAAAAAAAAAGUCCUCUUCCAACUAUCCCUAGGGAUUUUGCAGGCUUGUAUAUUAUAUUGAUGAUCUUAUUAAUAGCUCCUUGCAUGUGUUACUUGAACUUUUUUUCAACUCAAAUAUCAAUAUAAUUAAAAAAACACCAUGCUUUUCUAUUUUUCUAUUUUCCUGAAGGCACAGCCUCUUGUUGACUGGCAUUGAAAGCACUGAAGCAUCUCUCUCAUUCCCUCACACAUGUUCAAUGGCUCAUUUAUCUGCUCCCUAUCCUCAGGCACCGAGGCCAAUUGUAGUGCCCCUACCACUAGCCCCCUUGUGAUCAUCUAACUCAACCAUAAUAUGGGAAUUGAGAUCUUCAAGAUUCUAUGAUUAAGUUUACCAAAUGAACUAGUCAGGAAAGCUUGAAUAUUAUAUUUAUUGGACAAUUAAGUAUUAAGCUAGAAGAGUCUUCUGUACUUGUGGAGUGAUACCAGCUUCCCAAGAUAUCUACAAUUCAUGGCAUGACUUCAUUGGUUAAUUUUCCAGAUGCCCCAUGAGUCAACUGUUGAACACGCCCCACAGGACAUCAGUUUUAUGGAAUCUUUCCUGGAAAAUCAAAUGAACCACACCCAACUAACCAAUGGGAAGCAUCAGGGUUCUUGUCACAGUCACGAAAUCGAUAGAAGCUUGGAGGAGGAAGAGAAAUGAACAAAUUGCAAUUUCCUGACAGUGCUAAUUAAUCAGUGCAUUAGGUUUUGGGAAACAUUCCCUGCGGUGUCUCCAACACAACACAUAUACAGUGAGCUUGGAGAACGUUCCUGAUCCAGUGAAAGCAUUGUUCCUCAACUUUGUUUACAGCCGAUAAACUCAUUGUGACUUGGUGGUGAUCUUUCAUGGUCUGCAUAUGUGUUCACCUUACAACCAGCAACUCAGACUGACCAAAGUUCUGUUCCAGGAGACAAUAAUGGCCAUAAUAAUAAGAAUGACAAUAAACUUUUCAAGAAAAUGUUUACUGAAAAAAUACAAUCAAGAUAGGGUUCUAAUAAUUGUGCAAUUCAGUCUGUAUUAAUACUACAUUAAACAGACUUCACAAAGUUUAAUAACCUUGUGACUAUAUUUCUCAGGAGUUGCAAGUUGUAAUAAUGUUUCAAACCCCCGAACUUGAUGAACAUUUUCUCUUCCAGUAAUUAGGACUUUUCCACUGAGACAAUAAAUGAAACUGUUACAUUAACAUGAAGACCUAUCCUGACAAACACCUCCUCUCUCUCCCCUUGCCACAUUACUGGAAAUCUUCUGCAUCAUGCAACACCUUCAGGGAAGGAGGAAAUAUGAAUUGAGGAGAAAAAGUAGGAAAUGCAGUGUGAGAACUCUUUCCAUGUGUAAGUGCCUUUUUUGGAACCUGUAUGGGUUGUUGUGACUCUAUUGGAUGUUUCGUGAAUAUAUUCUCACUCCCUCCCUCCGUCCGGUUUCCAAGAAGUCUGCAGUUAUAUAUUUCUAACAGUUCAGAGAAAUACUCUCGGAUGUGAUUGAACAGAUCAGGACUCAAUACGGGUUCAACUUGCAACAUCUGAAAACACUUAGUGACAGGAAAGGAUUGGCCUCAAGGUUUGAGCUGAGCAUUUGUGGUAAGGAUUUGGCUCAGGGUUUGUGUAAGAAGUUAGGAUAACGGUAACUAAACAAUGAAAUCUCCAGGUAUUGAUUCUGACUUCUAGUUUGCCCACUGAAGACUGAUGCAGAGUUGAGCCAGAGAGCUGUGAAUGAAUUUACUUCAGUCACAAACAUUUGCUGUCAAAUCAGUACAUUGAAUAGGUUCCUAUGAAAAGUAGUUUCAAUGAGAGUUCCUCUGCAAACAACUUGUAUGUUACAUACAGGCCCUGAACUUGUAUCAUCCAGCUCGAGAUAUCACAUUUACUCAGGGAGCAAAUUCCAAAGACACCUUUUCGAAGAAGAAUCAGAGUGUCAUGAGUGCUGAUGUUGGUGUGCAGUGCAAUCUUUGGUAAAAAGGUUUCUGGAGUUUCUGUUUAAUUUGGAUAUUAGGUAACAAAUAUUGAUGUUUGACUGUUACCAUUACUUCUGACAAUUCAUUAUGUUUUUAAAAAUGGUUUGAAAUUCAACUUUGAGAUUUUUUUCAAUUAAAAAUAUUUCCAAAAACUGAAAA